This 406-nucleotide ribosomal RNA is filed under the name uncultured bacterium. RNAcentral describes it as "partial 16S ribosomal RNA". It matches the Rfam family "Bacterial small subunit ribosomal RNA", at positions 29 to 526 of the family's 1533-position model. The record is from RNAcentral.
AUUGAACGCUGGCGGCAGGCCUAACACAUGCAAGUCGAACGAGUGGCGGACGGGUGAGUAAUGUCUGGGAAACUGCCUGAUGGAGGGGGAUACCUCCUGGAAACGGUAGCUAAUACCGCAUACCAUCAGAUGUGCCCAGCAGGGAUUAGCGAGUUGGUGGGGUAACGGCCCACCAAGGCGACGAUCCCUAGCUGGUCUGGGAGGAUGACCAGCCACACUGGAACGUAGACACGGUCCAGCGGCCGACGGGAGGCAGCAGUGGGGAAUAUGGAGCAAUGGGCGCAAGCCUGAUGCAGCCAUGCCGCGUGUAUGAAGAAGGCCGUCGGGUUGUAAAGUACUUUCAGCGGGGAGGCGUUACCCGCAGAAGAAGCACAGGCUAACUCCGUGCCAGCAGCCGCGGUAAUAC